CUUCACGAGAGUGUGUGUGUGUGCACCUUCAUGCCAGCUCCUCGGAGUGGAACUCUAUCGACCCUGCUGAGCGAGAGUUCUGUUCAAGCGUCAGUUGUCGUGCCUGGAGAUCUGUAAUAUGACAGCGGACGCUCUGAGUGACGACAGCAGCUUCUGGAACACCAUCAAGUCCCACGACACCUGGAGACGCAUUCCAGAGUUCCAUGGCACCUGGAGACGCAGCAGCACGGCCGGAGAAUGCAGGAACAAGCCCAGACAUGGAGAUCUCUGCAGCACUUUGGAUUUGACCUGAUCACUGUCUUUGUCACUUUUGGACACAUUACAUAGUUGGUAGAGCUCAAUGUGUGUGUGUGUCUGUGAGUGAAUCUGCAACCUACAGAGCUGCAGAUCAACAGAGGUCAGAUCAUAUCAACAACAUCAUCUCUCCCUCGAUCACUCUGCAUUGUGUAUGAAAGGACGGACGGCACAACCGACGGCACAACCGAAUAGAAUAGGCAAAACUUGUGUUUAAAUGCAGUAGGCCUAGUAACUGCUUGAGGAGGAAGAAGAGCUAUUUGUUUUGUAGUUGUAACUUUGUUGAAGCACCUUUUAAAGUAGGCUUUUAAGUACUUUUAACUUCGAGAACCUACUUAAGUCUGUGCACCACAGUAGGGGUAGAGUGUUUGCUUAAAUUUGCAUAGCGGGAAGCUUUACUUUAGCUUUACUUUAGUAAGCUCUAGACCAAGUUAGAGCUUCAUAACAACAGUGUGUAUUGUAUGUGAAAUAUUGUAAAUUUAGAAAGUGUUUCAAAAUGUUUUCCAGGAUCAUGUUUGAGGUGCACGUAUCUAGUGGAAUUCCAACCAUGUUGUAAUGUUACUUUUGUGUAGCAAUUUAAUCUGAAUAUAAUAUAAACUCAACAUCAUCCCAUUUGGUUGUUAUUAGGGACCUGUAAGAGGAUAUCUGUCAGCUAUAAUUUCUAAAUUAAAAAAUUGAGUGAAGGUGUUUCAUGUAAUGAAGUUAUUUUGUGCUAUUUAAAAGUAUG
Alosa alosa (allis shad) is the source of this 1021-nucleotide long non-coding RNA. RefSeq lists it as uncharacterized. NCBI's taxonomy places the organism in Eukaryota, Metazoa, Chordata, Actinopteri, Clupeiformes, Clupeidae. The record is from RefSeq and is a predicted model, not a curated record. The transcript is spliced from 3 exons.